GAUGAACGCUAGCUACAGGCUUAACACAUGCAAGUCGAGGGGAAACGACAUCGAAAGCUUGCUUUUGAUGGGCGUCGACCGGCGCACGGGUGAGUAACGCGUAUCCAACCUGCCCACCACUUGGGGAUAACCUUGCGAAAGUAAGACUAAUACCCAAUGACGUCUCUAGAAGACACCUGAAAGAGAUUAAAGAUUUAUCGGUGAUGGAUGGGGAUGCGUCUGAUUAGCUUGUUGGCGGGGUAACGGCCCACCAAGGCGACGAUCAGUAGGGGUUCUGAGAGGAAGGUCCCCCACAUUGGAACUGAGACACGGUCCAAACUCCUACGGGAGGCAGCAGUGAGGAAUAUUGGUCAAUGGGCGAGAGCCUGAACCAGCCAAGUAGCGUGCAGGAUGACGGCCCUAUGGGUUGUAAACUGCUUUUAUAGGGGAAUAAAGUGAGUCUCGUGAGACUUUUUGCAUGUACCUUAUGAAUAGGGACCGGCUAAUUCCGUGCCAGCAGCCGCAGUAA
This 508-nucleotide ribosomal RNA is filed under the name uncultured bacterium. Its description in RNAcentral is "partial 16S ribosomal RNA". It matches the Rfam family "Bacterial small subunit ribosomal RNA", at positions 28 to 523 of the family's 1533-position model. The record is from RNAcentral.